GGACGGGUGAGUAACACGUGGGUAACCUGCCUGUAAGACUGGGAUAACUCCGGGAAACCGGGGCUAAUACCGGAUGGUUGUUUGAACCGCAUGGUUCAGACAUAAAAGGUGGCUCGGCUACCACUUACAGAUGGACCCGCGGCGCAUUAGCUAGUUGGUGAGGUAACGGCUCACCAAGGCCACGAUGCGUAGCCGACCUGAGAGGGUGAUCGGCCACACUGGGACUGAGACACGGCCCAGACUCCUACGGGAGGCAGCAGUAGGGAAUCUUCCGCAAUGGACGAAAGUCUGACGGAGCAACGCCGCGUGAGUGAUGAAGGUUUUCGGAUCGUAAAGCUCUGUUGUUAGGGAAGAACAAGUGCCGUUCAAAUAGGGCGGCACCUUGACGGUACCUAACCAGAAAGCCACGGCUAACUACG
Molecule: ribosomal RNA, 419 nt
Filed under: Bacillus amyloliquefaciens
Lineage: Bacteria; Bacillati; Bacillota; Bacilli; Caryophanales; Bacillaceae
Description: bacterial SSU rRNA
Rfam family: Bacterial small subunit ribosomal RNA
Source: RNAcentral